RNAcentral lists this ribosomal RNA (445 nucleotides) under uncultured bacterium. Its description in RNAcentral is "partial 16S ribosomal RNA". It matches the Rfam family "Bacterial small subunit ribosomal RNA", at positions 354 to 796 of the family's 1533-position model. The record is from RNAcentral.
GUGAGGAAUAUUGGUCAAUGGGCGGGAGCCUGAACCAGCCAAGUCGCGUGAAGGAAGAAGGAUCUAUGGUUCGUAAACUUCUUUUGCAGGGGAAUAAAGUGCAGGACGUGUCCUGUUUUGUAUGUACCCUGAGAAUAAGGAUCGGCUAACUCCGUGCCAGCAGCCGCGGUAAUACGGAGGAUCCGAGCGUUAUCCGGAUUUAUUGGGUUUAAAGGGUGCGUAGGUGGUUUGAUAAGUCAGCGGUGAAAGUUUGCAGCUUAACUGUAAAAAUGCCGUUGAAACUGUCGGACUUGAGUGUAAAUGAGGUAGGCGGAAUGCGUAGUGUAGCGGUGAAAUGCAUAGAUAUCACGCAGAACUCCGAUUGCGAAGGCAGCUUACUAAGCUACAACUGACACUGAAGCACGAAAGCGUGGGGAUCAAACAGGAUUAGAUACCCCGGUAGUCC